CGGUGUGGGAGUAGAUUUCUGAGAACAUUUUAGUGACCUUAGAGGAUAUGCUCAGCACUGUU
This 62-nucleotide microRNA precursor is filed under the name Echinococcus granulosus. RNAcentral's name for it is "microRNA egr-mir-10276 precursor". The record is from miRBase by way of RNAcentral. Lineage: Eukaryota; Metazoa; Platyhelminthes; Cestoda; Cyclophyllidea; Taeniidae.